GACGAACGCUGGCGGCGUGCUUAACACAUGCAAGUCGAACGGAAAGGCCCUGCUUUUGUGGGGUGCUCGAGUGGCGAACGGGUGAGUAACACGUGAGUAACCUGCCCUUGACUUUGGGAUAACUUCAGGAAACUGGGGCUAAUACCGGAUAGGAGCUCCUGCUGCAUGGUGGGGGUUGGAAAGUUUCGGCGGUUGGGGAUGGACUCGCGGCUUAUCAGCUUGUUGGUGGGGUAGUGGCUUACCAAGGCUUUGACGGGUAGCCGGCCUGAGAGGGUGACCGGCCACAUUGGGACUGAGAUACGGCGCAGACUCCUACGGGAGGCAGCAGUGGGGAAUAUUGCACAAUGGGCGGGAGCCUGAUGCAGCAACGCCGCGUGCGGGAUGACGGCCUUCGGGUGGUAAACCGCUUUCGCCUGUGACGAAGCGUGAGUGACGGUAAUGGGUAAAGAAGCACCGGCUAACUACGUG
Molecule: ribosomal RNA, 468 nt
Filed under: uncultured bacterium
Lineage: Bacteria
Description: partial 16S ribosomal RNA
Rfam family: Bacterial small subunit ribosomal RNA
Source: RNAcentral